Molecule: ribosomal RNA, 449 nt
Filed under: uncultured organism
Description: partial 16S ribosomal RNA
Rfam family: Bacterial small subunit ribosomal RNA
Source: RNAcentral
CGUACACUCCUACGGGAGGCAGCAGUGGGGAAUAUUGGACAAUGGGCGCAAGCCUGAUCCAGCCAUGCCGCGUGAGUGAUGAAGGCCCUAGGGUUGUAAAGCUCUUUCACCGGUGAAGAUAAUGACGGUAACCGGAGAAGAAGCCCCGGCUAACUUCGUGCCAGCAGCCGCGGUAAUACGAAGGGGGCUAGCGUUGUUCGGAUUUACUGGGCGUAAAGCGCACGCAGGCGGACUAUUAAGUCAGGGGUGAAAUCCCGGGGCUCAACCCCGGAACUGCCUUUGAUACUGGUAGUCUUGAGUUCGAGAGAGGUGAGUGGAAUUCCGAGUGUAGAGGUGAAAUUCGUAGAUAUUCGGAGGAACACCAGUGGCGAAGGCGGCUCACUGGCUCGAUACUGACGCUGAGGUGCGAAAGCGUGGGGAGCAAACAGGAUUAGAUACCCGGGUAGUCC